This 253-nucleotide ribosomal RNA is filed under the name uncultured bacterium. RNAcentral describes it as "partial 16S ribosomal RNA". It matches the Rfam family "Bacterial small subunit ribosomal RNA", at positions 524 to 776 of the family's 1533-position model. The record is from RNAcentral.
UACGUAGGGUGCGAGCGUUGUCCGGAAUUAUUGGGCGUAAAGAGCUCGUAGGCGGUCUGUCGCGUCGGAUGUGAAAACCCAGGGCUCAACCCUGGGCCUGCAUUCGAUACGGGCAGACUAGAGUUCGGUAGGGGAGACUGGAAUUCCUGGUGUAGCGGUGAAAUGCGCAGAUAUCAGGAGGAACACCGGUGGCGAAGGCGGGUCUCUGGGCCGAUACUGACGCUGAGGAGCGAAAGCGUGGGGAGCGAACAGG